UACGGGGGGGGCAAGCGUUGUUCGGAUUUACUGGGCGUAAAGGGCGCGUAGGCGGUCGUGACAAGUCACUUGUGAAAUCUCCGGGCUUAACUCGGAACGGUCAAGUGAUACUGUCGGACUAGAGUACAGAAGGGGCAACUGGAAUUCCCGGUGUAGCGGUGAAAUGCGCAGAUAUCGGGAGGAACACCGGUGGCGAAGGCGGUUCUCUGGGCCUUACCUGACGCUGAGGAGCGAAAGCGUGGGGAGCGAACAGG
RNAcentral lists this ribosomal RNA (254 nucleotides) under uncultured bacterium. RNAcentral's name for it is "partial 16S ribosomal RNA". It matches the Rfam family "Bacterial small subunit ribosomal RNA", at positions 524 to 776 of the family's 1533-position model. The record is from RNAcentral.